GAUGAACGCUAGCGAUAGGCCUAACACAUGCAAGUCGAGGGGCAGCAUAAGGAAGUAGCAAUACUUUCUGGUGGCGACCGGCGCACGGGUGAGUAACACGUAUGCAACCUGCCUUCAACAAGGGGAUAACCCGUUGAAAGACGGACUAAUACCCUAUAACACAGGGGUCCCGCAUGGGAAUAUUUGUUAAAGGACAACCGGUUGAAGAUGGGCAUGCGUUCCAUUAGCUAGUUGGCGGGGUAAGGGCCCACCAAGGCAACGAUGGAUAGGGGAACUGAGAGGUUUAUCCCCCACACUGGUACUGAGACACGGACCAGACUCCUACGGGAGGCAGCAGUGAGGAAUAUUGGUCAAUGGACGCAAGUCUGAACCAGCCACGUCGCGUGAAGGAAGACGG
Molecule: ribosomal RNA, 397 nt
Filed under: uncultured bacterium
Lineage: Bacteria
Description: bacterial SSU rRNA
Rfam family: Bacterial small subunit ribosomal RNA
Source: RNAcentral